ACAAGCGGUGGAGCAUGUGGUUUAAUUCGAAGCAACGCGAAGAACCUUACCAAAUCUUGACAUCCUUUGACAACUCUAGAGAUAGAGCCUUCCCCUUCGGGGGACAAAGUGACAGGUGGUGCAUGGUUGUCGUCAGCUCGUGUCGUGAGAUGUUGGGUUAAGUCCCGCAACGAGCGCAACCCUUAAGCUUAGUUGCCAUCAUUAAGUUGGGCACUCUAAGUUGACUGCCGGUGACAAACCGGAGGAAGGUGGGGAUGACGUCAAAUCAUCAUGCCCCUUAUGAUUUGGGCUACACACGUGCUACAAUGGACAAUACAAAGGGCAGCGAAACCGCGAGGUCAAGCAAAUCCCAUAAAGUUGUUCUCAGUUCGGAUUGUAGUCUGCAACUCGACUACAUGAAGCUGGAAUCGCUAGUAAUCGUAGAUCAGCAUGCUACGGUGAAUACGUUCCCGGGUCUUGUACACACCGCCCGUCACACCACGAGAGUUUGUAACACCCGAAGCCGGUGGAGUAACCUUUUAGGAGCUAGCCGUCGAAGGUGGGACAAAUGAUUGGGGUGAAGUCGUAACAAGGUAGCCGUAUCGGAAGGUGCGGCUGGAUCACCUCCUUUCUAAGGA
RNAcentral lists this ribosomal RNA (617 nucleotides) under Staphylococcus aureus. RNAcentral describes it as "bacterial SSU rRNA". It matches the Rfam family "Bacterial small subunit ribosomal RNA", at positions 925 to 1533 of the family's 1533-position model. Lineage: Bacteria; Bacillati; Bacillota; Bacilli; Caryophanales; Staphylococcaceae. The record is from RNAcentral.